AGGGUAUGACUUUACUACCGAUUCUCCCCUUGUUUCCUGAUGCAAAUGGAAUCAUGGUGUACAGUGGUACCUUGGUUCUCAAACUUAAUCCAUUCCAGAAGUCCGUUCCAAAACCAAGGUGCGCUUUCCCAAGAAAGUGAUGCAAAACAGAUUAAUCCAUUCCAAGCUUUUUUUAAAAAAAACCCCUAAAACAGCAAUUCAACAUGAAUUUUACUAUCUAACGAGACCAUUGACCCAUAAAAUGAAAGCAAUCAUCAAUGUACUGUAAUAUAAAAUAAAUAAGGCAGUAUUGUAGAUGAUAAAAAUUAAAACUCUUUUUUUUUCUUACCUGCGCUGAUGAUAGUCAUUGUUUGGAUGGGGGGCUUUUAUCCAUUUCCGCAGUCACACAAUCAAUCAAUCAAUCAAUCAAUCAGUAGCUGAACUGGGUUGCACACAGUCACAAAAACAAAUUAACCGAAAAAGCCUCAAAAACUAAAACGCUAAAUCAACAGCAAAAACAAAGCGCUAAACUUAAUCCGUUCUGGAAGUCCGUUUGAUUUUUGAAAUGUUCGAAAACCAAGGCACAGCUUCUGAUUGGUGCAGGCGCCCUGGGAACAAUAGCCAACAGCCGCAUCGGAUGUUUGGCUUUCGAAAAACGUUCAAAAACCGGAACACUUACUUCAGAGUUUUUGGUGUUUGGGAACCAAGGCAUUUGAGAACCAAGGUACCGCUGUAUAAGCCAGGCAUCCCCAAACUUGGCCCUCCAGCUGUUUUGGGACUACAAUCCCCAUCAUCCCUGACUACUGGUCCUGAUAGCUAGGGAUGAUGGGAGUUGUAGUCCCAAAACAGCUGGAGGGCUGAGUUUGGGGGUGGCUGGUAUAAGCCAACAAAGUUUUCUUGUUGGCAUCUGUCUGUCUCUAGGGGCUACAGAGUGCGUCUUCAGGGGUGAAGCCAAACUGCUGCGUUCGCAGCACCGAAGUGGCAUCCAUUGGGCACAAUCCUGGGCAGUGUGUCUGGGGGUCCUGGGCUACCCCGACAUUGAGACCCCCCUCUUGGCUGAUGUGGCCCAAAGGAAAGCAGAGCAAAAUGUUUGGCACCAGCUUGGCUGCAGUUGGCGGAAGGAGGCGUACAAGGCGCCAUCCAACUGCCUUAGGGACUGCGCUCCUAGUAUUGAACCAGGAAAUAUUUGGACAAUGGAGAAUAUUUAAGGAUUAUAUAAGAUCACAUUAUACCAAUCACACCAUAUUAGGUGAACUUGAGUGAUACUUGUAAGCACGACAAAUACCGUUUGCGGAGUAGACGGGAACAAUAUUGAAGAAUAUAAAACUGUGCGGCAAAAACGACAGUAUAAACAGUACAGUGAGAAUGAUUGGAAGACUCGUUUUGUUGAAAGUCUU
Podarcis lilfordi (Lilford's wall lizard) is the source of this 1376-nucleotide non-coding RNA. The record is from the annotation of a GenBank genome assembly. Lineage: Eukaryota; Metazoa; Chordata; Lepidosauria; Squamata; Lacertidae.